GUGUCUCAAAUUCACGCGGAAGUUAGCUGCCUCUGGCACGUCUCGGCAUCCAUUAUGCAUGGAUAUAUCGCGAAAAGAGCAAACGGAAUCUCUGUUUAGCUCUUGCUGUUGUUAAGUCGGAAUCUAAAUCUUCUAUACACGGCUCUUGUUGGCUAAUUUCAAAUUCCCGAAGAUUAUUUAUUUAUAAACACAAUUAUUAAGUUUCCUGUGUGCUCAUAAAGUUGUCAACUUGCUGUUACGUCAGAAAAAUGCAGUUAAUUUAUUAAUGCCUGGACUCAUACCUCUUGCUAGAUAAUUUUUAUUAAAAUAUAUAUAUAAUAAUAAUAAUUAUGACUACAUCCUUUCUGAUGUCACCGUAAGUCUGUAGAAAUCAUACCCGGGAUUAAGAAAAAUUUAUUAAGAGAAAUCAUCCAGGAUUAUGACGAAUUUAUAUUGUUAUUUUAUAGCUUGACGUAAAUGGGAAUUUAUUUUAUCGAAUUCUCGAUAAUUUUGAAAUCAAAAUUUUUUGUAAAAUAUUUUCACCCGCCCGAAUUUUAUCAAAUAAAUAUUAAGGGGAAUAGCCACUGUGAAAUUUAAAAAAAAAAAAUUUUUUUUUUUUGUUAAAACAAAGUGUAUAUGUUCAAAAAUAUGUAUCUAAAGUUUUAUAUGAAAAUUCCAAAUACUUUUCAAGUUAUAGUCAUUUUUGUGACAGCGCGUCAACUGACCGUUGCAUCGACUAAAAACUUUAAACGCAUUUUUCUCGAAACUACUUUUUUUGAACUGGUGGCAUCUGUAAUUUGCAUAAAUAUCAACCGAUUCACAACUUUUUUUUUUGCCGUAUUCGUCUAUUCAGUAGCUAAAGUUCAACGUAGGGGAUUUUGAAAAUUUUGAUUUUUAAGAUUUUUUAGGGCUGUUUGAAUCCAAAAAAAUGAGAAAAAAUAACGAAAAAAUUUUUAAUAUGUCGCCAUUUUUUUUCAAAUCCAAAUUUUCAAAAUCCCCUAUGUGCAACGAUAAUCACAUGCAUACAGAUUACAACGCCGUUUGGUUUUUUUGUUUCUGAUAAUCCGUUUUUGAGUUAGAGAUGACACCGUGGUGGGGGAAAUUUUUUUGUUGCUCCACAAAAAUGCUUAUAACUUUGUAACAACAUGAUAUUUUUUAAUGAAAAUUUAGGAGAAUUAUCAUCAAUGUAUACUUUAGAAAACAAAAAAACCCGAUCCCCAAAUUCCUUUAUUAUUCCAGUCAAAAAAAAUCCCGAAAAUCUAUUUUUUCGAUCCUCAUAGUGGCUAUCCCCCUUAAUGUAAAAUAAAAUAUUUUUUUUUUACAAUCAAGGAAAUACAACACCUUGACUUUUAAAAAUUCGUAACCGUUACAUGUGUAUUGUCUAGAACGUGAUCUUGUUACAAUUACAGCGUCCAUGCUCGGGUGGUUGGGAUCAUGUCAUCUAGUGCAUAAACUUUUCUAAAGAAUCGUAAUGUCUUUUGAUGUUAUAUAAUUUUAUUUAAUAACAAUCUAUCAAUAUUUCAAAAUAAAUAUCAGAAGAUUUAAAAAAAAAAAAAAAGUCAUAUGAGAAUGAGUAUUGAAACAGUGAUUGAAGUUACAAGUAAUACCGAGUAAAGAAGAAGUCAAACAAGGAGCAAAAAAAGGUAUAAAGAAACUUGGCCUGCCUUUCAUGGAUACUUUCAUCGAUGCCAAGAUCAUUUUAUUGUAACGAAACUUGUCGUUCGGCGCCGAUAUCAGGGCAUAUACCAACAUUACUCUUUUAAACUUCAGACAGUACGUGCAUAAAAAAAUUAAAAAAAAAACUAUAUACAACAAAUGAGUAAUAAAAUGCAAUCUGCGUACGUCUACUAUCUGAUUAAUGACUCCUAAUUAUUUAGAUAUUACAUUAACAAUCUAUUAUUUAUAAUUUAAGUGCUCACAAUACAAUAGGGUAAUAUCGAAUUUGUUUCGCUUAUCACAACAUUUAUUAACAGAACAAUGGACGGAGUUAUUAAAUUCUGAGAAUAACUUAUUUAGCAUGAUAUCGAAGAUACUCGAUGUUUUGUCGUGGAUAAAUAUAUAUUUAUUUUUCAUUUCAGAUUCAAUUCUGACAGAUGACGUGUGACAUACAUGUACUACGUUACACAUAUAAAUACUGACCAAGUAAAUAUUUACAUGCUCGGGGUUUUGCAACGACGAGUUACUCAAUAUGUGCGCGAAAAAAAAUAAGAAAAUUAACGCAGGACUCAAUAAGUAGGGUACAUUUUUUAGGGCAUUCUCAGACAGUGUCCCCACUUUUUAAAAAUGUCCAAUAACUGAACUGUCGUAGCCGCAUUCAAAUUUUAUUAAUUAAAGGAUUAAUUGAAAAAAGGACAAAAAGUUACGAUUGUUGCCGCGAUAUAUUUUUAAAAAUUACUUACAGCCUGAGUCAAAAUA
Long non-coding RNA from Microplitis mediator, 2394 nucleotides. RefSeq lists it as uncharacterized. The record is from RefSeq and is a predicted model, not a curated record. The transcript is spliced from 3 exons. Lineage: Eukaryota; Metazoa; Arthropoda; Insecta; Hymenoptera; Braconidae.